GUCUUCUCUGUGUCGGCCAAUGGGGAAGAAGGAGCAGAGUUUCGGUGAAGAAUUUGAACCGAGUCGCGGAAGCAGCGGACGCUUCAAACUACCAUCUUGAUGUAGUUUCAGUGUGGUUUAAUUAAAGAAACCUAUUUUAUUUAUUUAAUUUAACCUUAUUUAAUUUGCCUUUUUUUACAAAAAAAAAUUCGUUGGACGGUGACCAUGAGGAGGAGUGAAAUCCAUGCUGCAGAGUCGGUAGAAUGUCUGACUCGAGCCCUUAACCGGUUGAAGGACAUCUGGGAGGAAAUAGGAAUUCCAGAGGAUCAGAGACUACAAAGGACUGAUGUGGUUAGGAAACAUAUCAAAGGCUUGCUGGACAUGAUGAUUGCUGAGGAGGACAGUCUAAGGAAGAGAUUGAUGAGCAGCAUAGAAUCCUGUCGUAAAGAGCUGGAUGUUCUGUGUACUGAGCUUCAACUAUCCCCAUUUGAGGAGGACGAGGGCAGGACGAUGCUACAGCUGGAGAAGGACAUCAGGUCACGCCUGGAGGUGAUGAUGAAACAGAAGAGUCAGAGGAUUAAGGAGCUGAAGAGACUGUCCAGGCAGGACCGGGAGCUGUGUGACAUCAUGUGUUCAGUCCCCUUCUGUAUCGACAUGGACACGGUCCCGUCCCAGGAGCAACUGGACAACUAUCGCUCUUACCUCAACGAUCUCACUAAAGAGAAGGAUCGUCGCCACGGUGAGUUUGUGGGUAUCAAGCGUCAGAUCAUUGUGUGUAUGGAGGAGCUGGACCAGCUGCCAGACACCAGCUUUGAGAGGGACGUGGUGUGUGAGGACGAGGAGGCCUUCUGUCUAUCCGGCGACAACAUCGCAGCUCUCCGACUGCUCCUGGGACAGCUGGAGGAUCGUAAGACCGAGAACGAGUUGGUGUGUAACUCCUACCGCAGUAAGAUCCAGGAGCUGUGGGAGAGACUGCAGGUCCUCCAGGAGGAACGAGAGGGCAUGUCUGAUCACAUGGUUCAGUCCAGGAAGAGAAACAUGGACGCUUUGGAAGCAGAGUGCCGGCGCCUGGAUGAGCUGAAAACGAAGAACAUGAAGCACGUGAUAGAAGCCGUCAGGGCCGACGUGGCUCUGUUCUGGGAGAGGUGUUUCUACAGCCUGGCGCAGAGACGGGCCUUCACACCCUACUACGAAGUUGACUACACCGUGGAGCUGCUGAACCUACAUGAGGCGGAGCUGCUGAGUCUGAAGACGCACUACGAAGACCACAGGGAGCUGUUUGAAGGAGUAACCAGGUGGCAAGACAGCUGGACUCUGUUCCUACAACUGGAGAAAAAGGUGACGGAUCCUUCUAGAUUCAACAACCGAGGCGGGAACCUACUCAAAGAGGAGAAGCAGAGGGCCGACCUGCAGAAAAGCCUGCCAAAGUUGGAGAAGAGCCUGAAGACCCAGGUAGAUCUAUGGGAAGAGGAACAGUCCAGAGAGUUCCUGGUUAACGGACAGCGGUUCCUCCAGUAUGUUGAGGAGCAGUGGGAACUACUGAGGCUGGAGAAGGAGAGGGGGAAGAAUGAGAGGCAACUGAGGAAGAACCAGCAGAUUGAACAUGACUUGCUGUAUGGUACUGCUCAACGAACCCCCUCCAAAAGACGCCUUGCAGGGACUCCUACUCCUGGCAAAGCAAGAAAGCUCAAUGCCACUAGCAGUAUCUACGUCUCUACUCCUAACGGCACCUUACGUUCUGCCUUCGGAGGAACCUUGUGUCAGUCUCCGGCCCUCAGACUACCCAUGUCUGCCAGCAAGCUUCCUCUGAGGACCCCAAGUUGUGUUGGAAGAACCCUCCGUACGGUGGAGAGGAACAAAGAGAACAUCUCCCACCUGAACGGACCGGCUCUGAGUGGUGUGUUAAGAAACCCGGCCCAAAGCCCCGCCUCACAUCGUAACAUCACCGUUAACUCUGUCGCCACCACCCAUUCCGAAUUUUCGGUAAUUUCCAACCCCAUUUCCUAGGUUAUCACCUACCCAAACAACCAAUCAUCGACCCAGCAACACACAAGCCAAUCAAAGAUGAGUGGGGACGUCUUUCUGUGUGUCCAGUGAGAGAAUAGCACCAGGUUUUCUAUUCAACAGUCUGUAACAGAGUGGUAAUAUGUUUAAGUGAAAGCUUAGCAUGCUAUCGUGGAAACCUGGACUACGACUGUUCCUUUUCUCUGUGACCAUUUAAAAAAAAAAUGUAUUUAUUUAACUGGGCAAGUCCGUUAAGAACAAAUUCUUAUUUACAAUGACGACCUCUGGGACUCCAAAUCACGGCCGGUUGUGAUACAGCCUGGAAUCAAACCAGGGUCUGUAGUGACGCCUCUAGCACUGAGAUGCAGUGCCUUAGACCGCUGCGGGCACUCAGGAGACCCCCAUCUAACUCUACAUUCUAUUUUAAAAGGAUUUUUGUCAACAUUGAAUCCACCUCUAUUGCCAGGUCUGAAUGAAGGAAUGUUUUAUUUAAACCCCAUAACAGGGAGACUCAACAUGCUAAAUGGCUAACCAAGAGUGCAACUGAGAGCCUGGUCUGGGUCGGUUGGCCUAACCAUCUUGUGAGGAGCAAUUUUUACAAUUUAUUGAAGAUCAAACAAACACUUUGUUGAACUGGACUGUGUGUUGCUGGGGGGUGGGGUGGUCAGUUUUAAUAUGGCCUCACAUUUAUUUAUUCAAUAUCCCCCCCCACACACACACACACACAAAAAUGUGAUCAGUUGAUAGACCAAUAAGUGUUCCAAACCUCUCAGCCAAUAACAGAUUCCCCUCCCCACUCAGACAACUCCCAGACAGUCCUGGCUAAAUUAUGUCUUGUGAAAUUGCUCUUUGCGAAGACAAUAUUUUUUUUGUUUUCUUUUUGACCAUUUUUUAAAAUUGAAAAACAAUCACACGAUUUCCUCUCAAAAGCUUCCAAAUCUGUCACGACAGGACCUCUAAACUCUACUGUCACUAAUCUCAGCUGAGGGCUCAGCCAGAACCUGUCCCUGAUUCAUCCAGCUGAGACACCCUUUUUCCUGGCUUGAGUGUCACGGUUUCUGUCCCCUGUCCAUUUUUUUUGUACAUGUCUAGAUGAAGGAAAUGUUUUUAACACCUGACCUGUAAUGUAUCGGAACAGAGCCCAGCGUCUCUCGGUGCAACUGUGUUCUAGCUCUGAGGUUUUCCAGAACUACUGCAUCGAUCCUGACUCACUCUGGCUCGCGAGGUCUUUUGUUUUUCACUUCUGUUGUCUGUGUCUAGAUGAUGUGUCAACACCAACAACUUUUUAAAUACUCUGUCAGAUUUGUAAUAUUUUUCUUAGAUUCUUUCUUUUUUAUUUAAAGCUUUGAUCUGAGAUUAAUGAAAUGUCGGGAGGACUUGAUUAAGUUUCAUGUUUUACGUAGGUCUAUGUUCAUAACACUCAUACUUUUAUUCGUUUUAUUAUCCAUGUUGUUGCUAGAGUAACUUGUUGUACUUCAUAUAAUUAUGGGAUGGGGGGGGGUAGCAAAUGAUGACCAUUCUGUCAAAUAAACAUUGGCUU
This is an RNA transcript of Oncorhynchus gorbuscha (pink salmon), 3523 nucleotides long. It is a transcript of the gene named protein regulator of cytokinesis 1-like, with no coding region annotated. The record is from RefSeq and is a predicted model, not a curated record. NCBI's taxonomy places the organism in Eukaryota, Metazoa, Chordata, Actinopteri, Salmoniformes, Salmonidae. The transcript is spliced from 14 exons.